AUUGAACGCUGGCGGCAGGCCUAACACAUGCAAGUCGAGCGGAUGAAGGGAGCUUGCUCCUGGAUUCAGCGGCGGACGGGUGAGUAAGGCCUAGGAAUCUGCCUGGUAGUGGGGGAUAACGUCCGGAAACGGGCGCUAAUACCGCAUACGUCCUGAGGGAGAAAGUGGGGGAUCUUCGGACCUCUCGCUAUCAGAUGAGCCUAGGUCGGAUUAGCUAGUUGGUGGGGUAAAGGCCUACCAAGGCGACGAUCCGUAACUGGUCUGCGAGGAUGAUCAGUCACACUGGAACUGAGACACGGUCCAGACUCCUACGGGAGGCAGCAGUGGGGAAUAUUGGACAAUGGGCGAAAGCCUGAUCCAGCCAAGCCGCGUGUGUGAAGAAGGUCUUCGGAUUGUAAAGCACUUUAAGUUGGGAGGAAGGUCAGUAAGUUAAUACCUUGCUGUUUUGACGUUACCAACAGAAUAAGCACCGGCUAACUUCGUG
This 484-nucleotide ribosomal RNA is filed under the name uncultured bacterium. Its description in RNAcentral is "partial 16S ribosomal RNA". It matches the Rfam family "Bacterial small subunit ribosomal RNA", at positions 30 to 507 of the family's 1533-position model. The record is from RNAcentral.